GAUGAACGCUGGCGGCGUGCCUAACACAUGCAAGUCGAACGGGGGCGCCGAGGCGGCAGGAUUUCGGUCCGCGCCGCGCGGCGCCCCAGUGGCGGACGGGUGAGUAACGCGUGGGCAACCUGCCUCGCACUGGGGGAUAACACUUAGAAAUAGGUGCUAACACCGCAUAGCGGGCGGGGGCGCAUGCCCCUGCCCUGAAAACCCAGGUGGUGCGAGAUGGGCCCGCGUCUGAUUAGCUGGUUGGCAGGGUAACGGCCUACCAAGGCGACGAUCAGUAGCCGGCCUGAGAGGGUGGACGGCCACAUUGGGACUGAGACACGGCCCAG
Molecule: ribosomal RNA, 326 nt
Filed under: uncultured bacterium
Lineage: Bacteria
Description: bacterial SSU rRNA
Rfam family: Bacterial small subunit ribosomal RNA
Source: RNAcentral